GCGAGAGUGGCGGAACUGGUAGACGCGCUGGAUUUAGGAUCCAGUAGGUAAUUCCUGUAGGGGUUCGAGUCCCCUCUCUCGCACCA
RNAcentral lists this transfer RNA (86 nucleotides) under Candidatus Cloacimonetes bacterium 4572_55. RNAcentral's name for it is "tRNA-Leu". It matches the Rfam family "tRNA". From Rfam's summary of the family: Transfer RNA (tRNA) molecules are approximately 80 nucleotides in length. Their secondary structure includes four short double-helical elements and three loops (D, anti-codon, and T loops). RNAcentral also lists the same sequence under 1 other name. Lineage: Bacteria; Pseudomonadati; Candidatus Cloacimonadota. The record is from RNAcentral.